This 253-nucleotide ribosomal RNA is filed under the name uncultured bacterium. RNAcentral's name for it is "partial 16S ribosomal RNA". It matches the Rfam family "Bacterial small subunit ribosomal RNA", at positions 524 to 776 of the family's 1533-position model. The record is from RNAcentral.
UACGGAGGGGGCUAGCGUUGUUCGGAAUUACUGGGCGUAAAGCGCACGUAGGCGGCUUUGCAAGUUAGAGGUGAAAGCCCGGGGCUCAACUCCGGAAUUGCCUUUAAAACUGCAUCGCUAGAAUUGUGGAGAGGUAAGUGGAAUUCCGAGUGUAGAGGUGAAAUUCGUAGAUAUUCGGAAGAAUACCAGUGGCGAAGGCGACUUACUGGACACAUAUUGACGCUGAGGUGCGAAAGCGUGGGGAGCAAACAGG